CAGUCGCCACGGUAAUACGUAGGUGGCAAGCGUUGUCCGGAAUUAUUGGGCGUAAAGGGCUCGCAGGCGGUUUCUUAAGUCUGAUGUGAAAGCCCCCGGCUCAACCGGGGAGGGUCAUUGGAAACCGGGAAACUUGAGUGCAGAAGAGGAGAGUGGAAUUCCACGUGUAGCGGUGAAAUGCGUAGAGAUGUGGAGGAACACCAGUGGCGAAGGCGACUCCCUGGUCCGGAACUGACGCUGAGGAGCGAAAGCGUGGGGAGCGAACAGGAUUAGAGACCCCGGUAGUCCCUGUCUCUUAUAC
This 301-nucleotide ribosomal RNA is filed under the name uncultured bacterium. RNAcentral describes it as "partial 16S ribosomal RNA". It matches the Rfam family "Bacterial small subunit ribosomal RNA", at positions 509 to 807 of the family's 1533-position model. The record is from RNAcentral.